This 720-nucleotide ribosomal RNA is filed under the name uncultured bacterium. Its description in RNAcentral is "bacterial SSU rRNA". It matches the Rfam family "Bacterial small subunit ribosomal RNA", at positions 28 to 776 of the family's 1533-position model. The record is from RNAcentral.
GAUGAACGCUGGCGGCGUGCCUAACACAUGCAAGUCGAGCGAUCUUCUUCGGAAGAGAGCGGCGGACGGGUGAGUAACGCGUGGGUAACCUGCCCUGUACACACGGAUAACAUACCGAAAGGUAUGCUAAUACGGGAUGACAUAUGAAAGUCGCAUGGCUUUUAUAUCAAAGCUCCGGCGGUACAGGAUGGACCCGCGUCUGAUUAGCUAGUUGGUAAGGUAAUGGCUUACCAAGGCGACGAUCAGUAGCCGACCUGAGAGGGUGAUCGGCCACACUGGAACUGAGACACGGUCCAGACUCCUACGGGAGGCAGCAGUGGGGAAUAUUGCACAAUGGGCGAAAGCCUGAUGCAGCAACGCCGCGUGAGUGAUGAAGGCCUUCGGGUCGUAAAGCUCUGUCCUCAAGGAAGAUAAUGACGGUACUUGAGGAGGAAGCCCCGGCUAACUACGUGCCAGCAGCCGCGGUAAUACGUAGGGGGCUAGCGUUAUCCGGAAUUACUGGGCGUAAAGGGUGCGUAGGCGGUCUUUCAAGCCAGAAGUGAAAGGCUACGGCUCAACCGUAGUAAGCUUUUGGAACUGUAGGACUUGAGUGCAGGAGAGGAGAGUAGAAUUCCUAGUGUAGCGGUGAAAUGCGUAGAUAUUAGGAGGAAUACCAGUAGCGAAGGCGGCUCUCUGGACUGUAACUGACGCUGAGGCACGAAAGCGUGGGGAGCAAACAGG